CUUCAGGAGUGAAGCUGCAGACCUUCGCGUGAUGGAGGUUGAGAAGUCCAACUUCAAGGCACCACAUCUGGUGAGAGCCUUCAUUCCGAUGACAGCCUUCAUGCUGGUAAGAUUUUCUUCAGAGUUCCAAGGUGGUGCACGGCAUCACAUGGCGAAGGAAAUGAGCGUGCUAGCUCAGGUGUCUCUUCCUCUUCUUAUAAAGCCACCAGUCCCACUCCUGUGCUAGUAACUCUUUAAUCCAUCAACCCAUUAAUCCAUGAAUAGAUUAACCCAUGAGGCCUCUGCCCUCAGGACCCAAUCACCUCUUAAAGGCCUGACCUGUCAAUAUUGCCAUACUGGGGACUCAGUUUCAACAUGAGUUUUGAAAGGGACAAACAUUCAAUCCAUAGUAACAUGAGAGCUUUUCAAAGCCCUUCUUUGUUGAAGUAUGUCCUUCUCCAGCCUCUUUUUUCCCAGGCUUUUUGUUUUUUCUAUUGCUUGUGCAGCUGUUAUCCUUUGCUACAGGUGGCAAUAGCUAAUACAUUUGCCUUUAAAUUUGUUUGACAAACACCACCCUGGAAGUAGCCUCAACUCUGGGGAAGCUCCAAGACAGGUAAAAUACAGGUAAGCCCUUGAGCAGAUCCUUCAGGAAGCUACCAUAUGGGUCAAAACACAGAACCACAAUUCUUUAAUUCUUUGAGAAUAAGGUCUGUAUUGUUCCCUCUGUUACCAGCAACCUGCAGCAGGAAAAUGGGCUUCAGUUUUCAAGUCUGCAGCUGAGUUGGGAAGUUGCGGACAGUAACCAGGAUCGCUGUCCUUAUAAGAAGUGGAAGAAACAUCAGAGAGCUCUCCCUCUCCACACACACAGAGGAAAGGCCACAUGGGGACAAGAGAGGGCAACUGUCUACAAAUCUGGAAGAGAGACUUCAGAAGAAACCAGCACUGAUGGCAUCUGAUCUUGGACUUCCAGCCUCUGGAUCUGAGCCAUAAAACCUGGGCCGAGUUUCUUCUGAAAAUAAGUUAUAAGAUCCUUAUUCCAGAGGGGUCCUGCCCUGUGCCUGGAGGAAAAGAAUGAAGACACAGAGAUGCCUUGAAGAAUCUGAACAAACAGCCCUUGCUAAGUUCCCCCCAGUUUAUUGACAUUAGAUUAGACCUUUUGUCCUCCAAUUAUACUUCUGUGUUCCUGAAAAUACACAUUUUCCCGUUUUUUCUUUUGUUUGCUUUUUUUGAUCUUCAUUUCUGAAGA
This 1225-nucleotide long non-coding RNA is filed under the name Homo sapiens (human). Its description in RNAcentral is "HSALNT0372318". The record is from RNAcentral. Lineage: Eukaryota; Metazoa; Chordata; Mammalia; Primates; Hominidae.